Molecule: long non-coding RNA, 2585 nt
Organism: Daphnia pulex (common water flea)
Lineage: Eukaryota; Metazoa; Arthropoda; Branchiopoda; Diplostraca; Daphniidae
Exons: 6
Source: RefSeq, a predicted model, not a curated record
AUCCCCAGCAACGUCUACCUAAAGAAGGAAAGGCCAGUUUGCAUUUCAAUCGAAGGUCAUGGAGAUCAUUACGAAAAGGUGUCAUACAGUGGAGAAGAGGUUGGGUGAGAACGGUACGUUUUGCAUCAUUAUCAAGAAGGUAAAAAAAGCCGCAAGGCUUGAGAGGAGGGGUGAGAAAAAAUUGUAUAAAAGGCGGGAGAAAGUCGAUAGGUAUCAGUCGAGUGAGUGUCUCCGACACGGCAACAGCUGCAGUAUUCGUCGUAAUAUCAGUUCGCAAUUAUGGUUAAUUAUGGCGUUGUGUUGCUGUUGGGUGUUGUAUCGUUGAUGUUGACCACGAGAGAAAAUCUUUUAAAAGGAAAGAAAAAGGGCAACGGAAGUCAAUCGAGUAAGCAUCUCCGAACGGCAGCAGCUGCAUUCUUCGUCGUAUUAUCAGGUCACAAUCACGGGUUCCUGAUUUGUUUGAUGAUCGUGUGUCAUCAAAUUUGACUAGAGUUCUGAAUUCUUAGUGAUGGACUGUUUGCAGAAUAAAAUAGAAUUUGACUGAUGAUACAUAUAUUUGGCCAGGAUUCAGACGCUGGCCAGGAUGGCGAUGUUGGUGGAUGAGACGCGUCGCAACCAUCUCUAAUUCACCAAAGUCAAUCUGCAGACGGGUUGGUGAACGCUUGAAGGUCACGGGAUUAGGUAAAACUGUCGUCUGUCGUGCAGUGGUGUGCAGUGCAGUGCAGAGGUUGGGUGAGAACCAUGCAGUGGUGUAGAGGUUGGGUGAGAAAGUCUGUGCAGUGGUGUAGAGGUUGGGUGAGAACCGUGCAGUGGUGUAGAGGUUGGGUGAGAACGACACGUGUUGCUUCAUUUCCAAGCAGGUACAAUUGCCGCAAGGCUUAGGAGGUGAGUCAGGGUAAGAAAAAGUAGUAUAAAAGGAGAGAGAAAAGUCAGUUUGAGAUCAGUCGAGUGAACAUCUCCGACACGGCAACUACUGCUGCGCACCAUUGGUAACCAACCUCCUUCUUCAUCGUUUAACCAGUUCGCAAUCACGGUUAACUAUGGCGUCGUGCUGCUGUUGGGUGUUGUAUCGUUGAUGGCUGGGUCGACCACUGGUGUACCGAUGUCUCCUGGGUCCGCAAUGCUGCUGCCUCCCACACAACAACAACAUACGCAACCACCGGAUACUACACCACCAAGGCUCCAGAGUCCUACCACAACUUAGGAUGCCCCGAGCUACUACACCGAAGCUCUGAAGUAUAACUCUACCCCGAGCCACACCAACAAAGAUCCGGCGUACAACACCAAGGCUCCCAAGUACUACACCACUAAGGCACAGGAAUACUACACGAUUACGUAUGCUGCCCCUGCCUACUACACCGAGGCCCCUAAUUACUACAACACUGAAGCACCCAAGUACUACACUACAACCUACACUGCCCUAAGCUACUACAUUAACGCCCCGAAGUAUUACUCUGCGUAAAAGGAGUCGUUAAAAAAGAAGAUGUAAAAAGGAGUGAGAAAAGCAGGUGCAAUUGCCGCAAGGCUCGAGUUGAAAGGUGAAUCAGGAGAAGGAAAAAUCCGAUUGAACGAGAGAAAGGGCGAUGGAAAACAGUCGAAUGAGCAUAACAACUGGAUUGUUCAUCGUUAAACCAGUUCAUAAUUAUGGUUAACUGUUGCUUCGUUGUGUUGUUGAUCGUUGUAUGGCUGGGUCGACCACUGUGGUCGGUGUACCGAUGUCUCCUGGUUAUAGCUGAUAGCCUGAUACCAAACCGCAAUGCCGCCGCCUAACUACACAACAACUUUAACGACCAGUUACAACACCGAGGCCUAGACCGAGACCCACAAAUACUACACCACCAAGUCACCGAAGUAGGAUACGAUAACUUGCGCUUCGCCGAGCUAAUACACCGAUCCCCCGAAUUAUUACUUUGCCUCCAGUUGCACCACCAAGUCAGCGAAGUACUACACGACUACGUAUCCUGCUUAUCUUACUACACCGAGGCUCCAGCUACUACACCGAGGCUCCAGCUACUACACCGAGGCUCCAGCUACUACACCGAGGCUCCAGCUACUACACCGAGGCUCCAGCUACUACACCGAGGCUCCAGCUACUACACCGAGGCUCCAGCUACUACACCGAGGCUCCAGCUACUACACCGAGGCUCCAGCUACUACACCGAGGCUCCAGCUACUACACCGAGGCUCCAGCUACUACACCGAGGCUCCAGCUACUACACCGAGGCUCCAGCUACUACACCGAGGCUCCAGCUACACAACCACGACUGAUGCGGUCAAGGUUUACGUAGCCCCAACUUUCUACUCAACUACUGCCCCUUCGUAUUACGUUGAACCGAAAUACUGCACUGAAGCUUCAGGUUACUACACCGAAAAUCUGAAGUAUUACUCUGCUCAUAGUAACUACACCACUAAGGCACCUGAAUAGUACACUAAGACAUACGCUUCUCCAGAUUUCUAGAAGGAUUCUAAAUGCCAGAGCUGAUAUGAUGGAAAAUCUGUACACAUACAUAUACACAAUAUCAUAAUAGUUACUAGUCACUAGGAAUUGUUCUUUGAUGAGAAAAUAAAGUUUUUAAUCUGAGUAA